CCUGUUGAUGACACUGAUUUUAUUACAUAUUUGUUGAAUGGUCUUGAUUCUGAUUAUGACUCUAUUGUUUCCUUUAUAACCACACGAGCUCUUACUUUAACC
Prosopis cineraria is the source of this 102-nucleotide small nucleolar RNA. RefSeq annotates it as small nucleolar RNA Z247. Lineage: Eukaryota; Viridiplantae; Streptophyta; Magnoliopsida; Fabales; Fabaceae. The record is from RefSeq and is a predicted model, not a curated record. The transcript has a single exon.